ACCUCUCUCCACCAGACACCUCAGUCAAACUCCGACCGAUAGACCUGGACCCCCUGGCAGGCCGCAGCAACAGCCAUGACUCUGCUCCACCUCCUGCGAUGGAUUCCAUGCGGCCCCAUCACUCCCUGACAGGCCAUAAUAAUGGCCACGAUCCUGAUCCACUUCCUGCAACGGAUACUGCGCGACUUUUCCAUUCUCUGGUAAGUCACGACAACGGACGCCGCUCCGCUCCCCGUGGCAGACUCCACGUAGCAUGCCCCGAUGAUAGCCACGGGUCCACUCCACUACUCCCCUCAACAAACUCCUCCUGACUCUGGGUGGCCCACUGUCAGA
RNAcentral lists this long non-coding RNA (333 nucleotides) under Elaeis guineensis (African oil palm). RNAcentral describes it as "long non-coding RNA (EGUI_LNC078434)". The record is from RNAcentral. Lineage: Eukaryota; Viridiplantae; Streptophyta; Magnoliopsida; Arecales; Arecaceae.